UGGUACUAGAAUAACGGGUGCUGCCCAU
Molecule: small RNA, 28 nt
Filed under: Bombyx mori (domestic silkworm)
Lineage: Eukaryota; Metazoa; Arthropoda; Insecta; Lepidoptera; Bombycidae
Description: ovarian small RNA-35089
Source: RNAcentral